RNAcentral lists this ribosomal RNA (119 nucleotides) under Trifolium pratense (red clover). Lineage: Eukaryota; Viridiplantae; Streptophyta; Magnoliopsida; Fabales; Fabaceae. The record is from RNAcentral.
AGGUGCGAUCAUACCAGCACUAAUGCAUCGAAUCUCAUCAAAACUUCGUAGUUAAGCGUGCUUGGACGAAAGUAGUACUAUGAUGGGUGACCUUCUGGAACGUGCUUGUGUUGCACGUC